AUUUGAAAUCUGGCAGGUCUCUGGCCGUCCGAGUUGUAGUCUAGAGAGGCAUUUUCCGUGCCGGACCGUGUACAAGUCCCUUGGAACAGGGCGUCAUAGAGGGUGAGAAUCCCGUCCGUGACACGGACUCCCGGUGCUUUGCGAUGUGCCUUCGAAGAGUCGAGUUGUUUGGGAAUGCAGCUCAAAACGGGUGGUAAAUUCCAUCUAAAGCUAAAUACAGGCGANAGACCGAUAGCGAACAAGUACCGUGAGGGAAAGAUGAAAAGCACUUUGGAAAGAGAGUUAAACAGUACGUGAAAUUGUUGAAAGGGAAACGCUUGGAGUCAGUCGCGUCGGCUUGGAUUCAGCCUUGCUUUUGUAGGGUGUACUUCCAGGUCGAUGGGCCAGCAUCGAUUUUGGCCGGUGGAUAAAGGCUUGGGGAAUGUGGCACCUUUUUGGGGUGUGUUAUAGCCCCUCGUUCNCAUACAUCGGCUGGGAUCGAGGACCGCAGCACACCGUAAAGGUCGGGGGUUUACCCCACGUCUUGUGCUUAGGAUGCUGGCGUAAUGGCUUUAAACGACCCGUCUUGAAACACGGACCAAGGAGUCUAACAUGCCUGCGAGUGUUUGAGUGGUAAACUCGAGCGCGUAAUGAAAGUGAAUGGUUGGGACUCCCUUCCAAGGAGGCACCGACGCCCGAUCCUGAAGUUUUCCGACGGAUUUGAGGUAGAGCAUGUAUGUUGGGACCCGAAAGAUGGUGAACUAUGCCUGAAUAGGGCGAAGCCAGAGGAAAACUCUGGUGGAGGCUCGUAGCGAUUCUGACGUGCAAAAUCGAUCGGUCAAAAUUUGGGGUAUAGGGGCGAAAGACUAAUCGAACC
RNAcentral lists this ribosomal RNA (856 nucleotides) under Gelacantha pura. RNAcentral describes it as "partial large subunit ribosomal RNA". It matches the Rfam family "Eukaryotic large subunit ribosomal RNA", at positions 113 to 941 of the family's 3401-position model. Lineage: Eukaryota; Fungi; Basidiomycota; Agaricomycetes; Auriculariales. The record is from RNAcentral.